UGAAUUUCAUUUACUUUCGAAUGUAUUAACAGCAGACUACUUUAUUUUCUGUUCACGGAGAUUAACACUACAAACCAGUUACUUAGUUCGGGUGAAGUUUUACUAUAAAUAGUGAGAUGAGAUUUAUGCUUUAAACUAUUCAUCUUUUUGCAUAUAUUAAAGAUGUCAAAAUCUCAUAUGCAGUAACUUUGUUGUCAUCAUUCACAUAUUUCAUUGGCCCACAUCUCGCUCACUUACGUUUAUACAAAUAUGAGUUUUGCAUCAGUGAGUGCAGUUGUACUGCAUGAAAAUCCUAAUUUAAUGAAAAAAUGUUGUGAAGUUUUGAAUGAAGAAUGGAAAAGAAGUGAAUCAGCCAGGAUACACAGCUUAGAAAAAUCAAAUCACAGCCUACCAGUAUCCUUGGUUCUAGUUGAAAACUUAGAUCAUGAAGACCCUGAAGUAAUUGGUCACAGCAGGAUCUGUAGAGUGCUUGACGAUAACAGUGGAUGUUGGAUUGAAUCGGUUGUAAUAAAGAAAAACAGACGAAAUCAAGGAUUUGGGAAGCUGUUAAUGCUGAAGACUGAAGAGUUUGCAAGAAGACUGGGAUUCAAAACAGCUUAUCUAAAUACUAUAGAUAAACAAGACUUUUAUAAACAUUUGGGUUACAUAUUCUGUGAUCCUGUUUCAUCUAUACCAACUGGGGACUUUGGAGCACUGUCAAAUAGAAUUGGGGCACAGGCUCUGUGUGCCAGUGCAUAGUGAUGCCUGUGCUUGAAAAUUCACCAUAUGCCUUUGCUUAUUGGAGAUCCUUUACACAAACAAGUGUAAAAUAUUUUCAAAAUUAACCCAAUUAAGGAUGGAGGAAAUGUUAGCAGAUACUUUGUUGAGAAGAUGAGAGAGAAGAUUGGAUCUCCUUUAGAUGGUAGUAAUUGUAUU
Molecule: unclassified non-coding RNA, 915 nt
Filed under: Limulus polyphemus (Atlantic horseshoe crab)
Lineage: Eukaryota; Metazoa; Arthropoda; Merostomata; Xiphosura; Limulidae
Description: n-acetyltransferase 6-like, transcript variant X5
Source: RNAcentral